RNAcentral lists this ribosomal RNA (503 nucleotides) under uncultured bacterium. RNAcentral describes it as "partial 16S ribosomal RNA". It matches the Rfam family "Bacterial small subunit ribosomal RNA", at positions 28 to 523 of the family's 1533-position model. The record is from RNAcentral.
GAUGAACGCUGGCGGCGUGCCUAAUACAUGCAAGUCGAACGAAGAUCUAGCUUGCUAGAUCUUAGUGGCGAACGGGUGAGUAAUACAUAAAUAAUCUGCCCAUAUGACUGGGAUAACUAUUGGAAACGAUAGCUAAUACCGGAUAGGUUGAUCGGAGGCAUCUCUGAUGAAUUAAAGUAGGAUUUCUACACAAAUGGAUGAGUUUAUGGCGCAUUAGUUAGUUGGUGGGGUAACGGCCUACCAAGACGAUGAUGCGUAGCCGACCUGAGAGGGUGACCGGCCACACUGGGACUGAGACACGGCCCAGACUCCUACGGGAGGCAGCAGUAGGGAAUUUUCGGCAAUGGGCGCAAGCCUGACCGAGCAACGCCGCGUGAGUGAUUAAGGCCUUCGGGUUGUAAAGCUCUGUUGUAAGGGAAGAACAUUCAGGAUAGGAAAUGAUCUUGAACUGACGGUACCUUACCAGAAAGCCACGGCUAACUACGUGCCAGCCGCCGCAGUAA